GACUGGAUUUGACAGCGAGCCUAAGGGGUAUGUAAGCAUGCAGUGUAUUGUUAGUAGACACUAAAAAAACAACUUUCUAAAUUUUAUCUGGCGAAAAUAAUUAUGCUCUCGCUGCUUGAUCUGAAGUAUAGUAGGAUCGCUUUAUUCUUGUGCUAGGCACAGGAACGAGACAUCACUCAAUCACUCCCUUUCCGAAGCGUAUUGACAUAGUGGUGCAGGAAAUCGGAAAUAGCACACAAUGGCCUUGCAUUGUGUGCGAAGCAAACAAAGGAUAUGCAAGAAAUUUGACUGUUCAGCUUCAGUUUUCUUGCAGACAUCACGAGCUGAACUAAGCAUGUAGAAAUCACAUUUCUUGCUUGUUUGGACGGGAGUUCGAUUCUCCCCUGGUCCACC
This 393-nucleotide transfer-messenger RNA is filed under the name human gut metagenome. It matches the Rfam family "transfer-messenger RNA". Rfam says of the family: Bacterial tmRNA, also known as 10Sa RNA or SsrA, is named for its dual tRNA and mRNA-like properties. Its role is to liberate the mRNA from a stalled ribosome. The record is from RNAcentral.